This is a non-coding RNA of Nicotiana tabacum (common tobacco), 1088 nucleotides long. NCBI's taxonomy places the organism in Eukaryota, Viridiplantae, Streptophyta, Magnoliopsida, Solanales, Solanaceae. The record is from RefSeq and is a predicted model, not a curated record.
AAAUUUCAAUACAAUAUUUUCAUUCAAUUUGUUCGCGGGGUUUCAUUGAUCAAAAAGUUGAUAGCAAGGAUCAUUCUUGGUGUGGAUACGCAUUGAUCAAAUGAGACUCUCUUCACCAGGUACUUAUUAGAUCCGAUCUUUGACAUGUAAAUAAAUUUUAAACACGAAAAGUUCUGCCUAGAAUUGUUAUUGUCUUACGCUGCGCGUUAAGAACAUGUAUAUGCAAUCCUACAUAGAAGUCUAUCAGAACUAACAUAAUUAUGUCCAGCUUAAAUGUGUUCUUCUAAACAAACGUACCUUCGUGAUAUUUUUUUUUUUUGAGAAGGUAAAAAUUUAUCAUAACAGUAUCAAGAUGGUACUUGAGAUACAGAGAACAUUCCAAAACAACAAACACUCCCUACAUCCCACCUAGCAAAAAAAUGGAUGUGCCUAUAUGGUGUUAUUUGUUUCUGAAUUUUGUAUCAUCUACUUCCACCCAGUACAUUCCCCUUUGGUUUUAUCAUAUGCUAAUACUAGCUUAUGGUAAAAUUGCUCUUUUUCCCCCUCUGGAUAGGUAGUGGAACUCGAUUUUCUUUAUCCAAGUGAAGGCAUUCAUGAACGGUGGAAUAGUGGUUAUCGUAUUACAGCAACAGCUGCUACGUUAGAUCAAGCUGCUCUUAUCUUGAGCGUGCCUUGACGAAGACCUGGCAAUGAGACUCAGGAAACAUUGAGAACAUCUCAGUUUCCAAGUACACAUGUUAAGGAAAAGUGGGCAAAAAAUCUCUAUCUUUCUUGUCUAUGCUUUGGCCGAACUGUAUCUUGAGAAGUUGCAACAUCUUACCCCUCCUUAUUGUUCUAUUCUCUUUUUCUCUCAUUGGCAAUUAUAAAAAGUGGAUGGUAGGUUAAAUGGUUCGAUUGUUAUGCAUAGGAAAUUUUAGUUAUAGUGGCACUUGCUUCAUUUAGCUCGUCUGAACAGCGCAGUUUUUGGUGAACUUUCUUAUGCGAUGUAUAUACAAUUAACUGCACAAAUUUCCAAAUUUAUGGAUCCUUUGUAUCCUUUGUGCUUAGUGCAAGUCAUUUCCCAAUAUGUAAAUCCAGAAUGAGCUUAA